GACGAACGCUGGCGGCGUGCUUAACACAUGCAAGUCGAACGCUGAAGCUCAGCUUUUGUUGGGUGGAUGAGUGGCGAACGGGUGAGUAACACGUGAGUAACCUGCCUCCUUCUUUGGGAUAACGCCCGGAAACGGGUGCUAAUACUGGGUAUUCACUGGUCUUCGCAUGGGGGUUGGUGGAAAGGGUUUUUCUGGUGGGGGAUGGGCUCGCGGCCUAUCAGCUUGUUGGUGGGGUGAUGGCCUACCAAGGCUUUGACGGGUAGCCGGCCUGAGAGGGUGACCGGUCACAUUGGGACUGAGAUACGGCCCAGACUCCUACGGGAGGCAGCAGUGGGGAAUAUUGCACAAUGGGCGCAAGCCUGAUGCAGCGACGCCGCGUGAGGGAUGGAGGCCUUCGGGUUGUGAACCUCUUUCGCUCAUGGUCAAGCCGCAACAAUGGUUGUGGUGAGGGUAGUGGGUAAAGAAGCGCCGGCUAACUACGUG
Molecule: ribosomal RNA, 483 nt
Filed under: uncultured bacterium
Lineage: Bacteria
Description: partial 16S ribosomal RNA
Rfam family: Bacterial small subunit ribosomal RNA
Source: RNAcentral